AAUAACUUCAUUUUUCAGUUUUUUAAUAUAAUAUUUUGACUCUUCGUGUUAUUUGAAAUUUUUUUACGAUUAAUAUUUUUAUUGUUACUGGAUAAUAAAAUAUGAAUAGUACUUUAUAUGGGACUAAUUUUUUUAGUUUUUUACAAAUUUUUUAAAUAAGACGAAUGAUCAAAUGUUGGACACGGAGAAACA
RNAcentral lists this microRNA precursor (192 nucleotides) under Oryza brachyantha (malo sina). RNAcentral's name for it is "MIR812 microRNA precursor family". It matches the Rfam family "MIR812 microRNA precursor family". Lineage: Eukaryota; Viridiplantae; Streptophyta; Magnoliopsida; Poales; Poaceae. The record is from Rfam by way of RNAcentral.